UUUAAAUCCAUUAGCUUCACAUUAAAGACAAUGUGUCUAAUAAUACAAUUGUCUUAUGCAUCUGGAGAUGAUAAUCUGUUUUUUUUUCUCUACAGAAAUGGAAUAUGUUUUCAAUUUGCAAAAACAAGAUCCAAAAAGAGUAGUCUGUUAUGACAAGACCAAGGAUGGACCUUAUCAGUGAGGUAGUGAAUGUCAACAAUUACAUGUACCUUCUCCCUACCUGGGUGCUGCAGAUGUCUUCUUUGGCGGUUAUGAUCCCUUUGGAAAACAAAAUCGAGUCAACUGUGACAUACAUUUAUUGGAAUACAGAAUGGGAUAAUGGGAUUCGUUUUUUUGGGGGUGCGUCAGAGAAGAGGAAGAUGACAAGGGAAGGUGUAAUAUGAGGAAAUAUGAAUCCAAUUAUUGGCAUUAAGUUGAGCGCAGGAGCUUCGGCUGACGCUCUGGACUACACAAAGACUCAAACACUUGAAAGAAAUUUUGGGUGCCUCUCCCAUGUGAAUGGACACUUGUGACACUUUCUGCUGUAAUAGAUGUUGGUCUCAUAGCUCCUUCCUCUGGGUGUUGAGGACAUAAGACUGAGGAAGGCGCAAACUGCACCUCCCGAGCCUUUAUCCUCUUGCCCAUUGAACUGUGGUGACUAUGUCUGACAGUAGGAUGCCUCAAUCGUUUUAUUUCCUCAUGCAUUCAAAUUAGUCCAAUAUAUGUAGAUUUGUGUAUGUGUUAUGAUUUAUGCAUACACAUCAGUAUAUGUGCACAUUUGAAUACAUUUUAAAAGAAAAUUAACUAGAAAUUCUAAGAAUGCCUUGAAAUUUACAAAAUGUGAAGGUUAUGAGAAGGCUGGUAGUAUUGAUAAGCCUGUUAGGCUGCAGGUUAAAUGAGAAAUAUAUAUGUUUAGGGAACGCAUUUGUCUUAAUUACUUUAGUGAAUUAACUAUGCCCAGCAAACACCUGACUGCUUGGUAUCAGUUUUGACAACUAUUUUACUCUGUUUUGUAUGGUUUAGCGAUUUCAGAUGUGAUCUACAGUAGCAAAAAACUCCCAGAGCACAGAUAGAGACGUGUCAAAUCAGAAUGAAACUAAAGCCAUGUCAUAAUCUCGUGGUUCGGUUGUCAGUUUUUGUUAGCCGUGCUAAUCAGUAAAAAAGUUGUGGCAUUAAUUGUCUUCAUCUGAGUUUAGCUUUAUUUGUACUUUUAUUUCUUCUUAAUCCUUGCUGUUUUCAGUCUACAUAUUUCAUUAAUUUCAUAUUAAGAUUGAUGUAGGCUAUUCCUUAAUUUUAGAUGUAGGUUCUCUUGAGCUUUUCACUUGAUUGUGGGAGUUUUCAGGAAGAUGAGAAAAGUGACAUUGUGGAUCAAGGGCUAUCUAUGUAUGUGAUAUUUCAAAAUAACUUUUUUUUGUUUGGUGUAUUUCAUCAGUAAGGUUCAAAAUGUCUAAUUCAUUAGGCCUGUCUAAGCUAUAUUUGAUGACACCAUGUGGAGAAAUGGCAAAUUUCUUAUUUUCUUGCUCAAGCAAUUUGCUUUUGAUUUGCUGACCAACCUGUUCAGCAUAGGAUACUAUUUGCCCUUUCAGCAUUUGGUCUUUAAUCUCUCUCUCUUACGACAAUGUAUUUCUUACACGUGUUUACUGGUGUGGAUGAGAUGUGAGAAGUCUCAGUAUAAUAUAACCAAGCAAAUAUUAGACAGAAAACAAUCGCAAUACUAAUCAUUUCAUGUCCCAGACCAGCCGCUCUUUGUUAUACUGUGCAUAGAGAUUUGGUGGUGAUGGCGUUUCAUAAUACCGUAUCAUCGAGUUAGUCUUUGAUCAAAGUGACUGUCAAGAGGCCUAAACAUGUCAAGGCAGGCCAAAUUUGGCAAUACAUUGAGUGGACAACCACGAUGUCAUUGGUACUACCAUCUCCCUCUCAGUUGGGUUUUUGGUUUUGCGCUAAGGAAGGACAUUAGUUUCUUUUCUCUAGCAUAAAUUAUUUGGUUGUGUGGAUUAAUAGCACUUUAUUUAACAUAGUUUUUUUAUCUUUCAAUUACUACAGAUAUACAGUACCAGUCAAGUUUGGACACACCUACUUGUUCAAGGGUUUUUCUUUAUUUGUACUAUUUUCUACAUUGUAGAAUAACAAUGAAGACCUCAAACUAUGAAAACCUAAAAAAGUGUUAAACAAAGUAUCCACUCUUUGCCUUGAUGAAUGUUUUGCACACUCUUGGCAUUCUGUCAACCAGCCUCACCUGGAAUGCUUUUCGAACAGUCUUGAAUGAGUUCCCACAUAUGCUGAGCACUUGUUGCCUGCUUUUCCUUCACUCUGCGGUCCAAACCAUCUCAAUUGGCUUGAGGUUGGGUGAUUGUGGAGGCCAGCACUCCAUCACUCUCAUUCUUGGUCAAAUAGCCAUUACACAGCCUGGAGGUGUCUUGGGGUCAUUGUCUUGGUGAAAAACAAAUGAUAGUCCCACUAAGCGCAAACCAGAUGGGAUGGCAUAUUGCUGCUGUGGUAGCCAUGCUGGUUAAGUGUGCCUUGAAUUCUAAAUAAAUCACUGACAGUGUCACCAGUAGAGCACCAUCACACCUCCGUGCUUCACGGUGGGAAUCAUACAUGCGGAGAUCAUCCGUUCACCUACUCUGCAUCUCACAAAGACACAGCGGUUAGAACCAGAAAUCUCAAAUUUAGACUCCUCAGACCAAAGGACAGAUUUCCACCGGUCUAAUGUCCAUUGCUCGUGCUUCUUGGUCCAAGUAAGUCUCUUAUUAUUGGUGUCCUUUUAAUAGUGGUUUGUUUGCAGCAAUUCGACCAUGAAGGCCUGAUUUUCCUCUGAACAGUUGAUGCGGAGACGAAUUGCCUGACCAUGUCUUAGAGUAAUGAGCUGUUCUUGCCUUAAUAUGGACCCUGUUUGGUAAAAUACCAUCUUCUGUAUACCACCCCUAACUUGGCACAACACAACUGAUUGACUCAAACACAUUAAGAAGGAAAGAAAUUCCACAAAUUAAUUUAAGGCACACCUGUUAAUUGAAAUGCAUUCCAGAUGACUGCCUCAUGAAGCUUGUUGAGAGAAUACCAAGAGUGCAAAGCUGUCAAGGCAAAGGGUGGCUACUUUGAAGAAUCUGAACUCUAUUGAGUUGACACUUUUUUUUUUUGUUACUACAUGAUCCCAUGUGCUAUUUCAUAGUUUUGAUGUCUUCACUAUUAUUCUACAAUAGUGAAAAUAAAGAGAAACCCUUGAAUGGGUAGGUGUGUCCAAACAUUUGACUGGUACUGUGUAUAUAUAUAUUUAUAUAAUGACAUACUAACUUCUAAGAAUGGCUUUGGUUGGACUGUUCUUUUUAAGAAAAAUAAAUGAAUAAAUAUAAAAUGUCACUCAGGUAGCAUUGGUAAAGCCAUGACAAAGUUGGAACAAUUUUGUUUUCUGCCAAAUGGUUCAGAACAAGAUCCUCAUAUUGUGCUCAAAUUUGAAUUGCUAAAAUAUUGAAUUGGAGUCAUAUUUAAUAAUAAAAUACCAAAAUAUUUAGCUUACAGAAAACACUGACAUUGCUUGCAAGCAGCUGUCAUACAUGUUAUGUAGGCUUCAAACUUUUUAAAGUUCUCUGUUUAGGCAAUUUCACUUUAAGCACACUGAUUUGCACCGUUUUCCACCUGUUAUUGGACAGGGUGAUGUCUUACUGUCCUUGAUUCUUUUGUCAUUCAUGACCUGAAGCACUUCUGUGUUCCCAGUCCAGGUUAUAUGCAAUGGCAGGAAUCUAUGUCUGUGCUUCCUAGUCCAGCCCUGUCUGGUCACGUCAUGGCUUGUUCUUGCAGACUGAGAGGGAACUACAAGAAGGUCACACAUACUGCUGUGUACAAAACUGUGUCUCACAUACACUUAAAGGGCAAUUCUGCCACUUUUCAACCUCAUUCAUCUCCGCACCAUACCAGUGUCUCUACAUAUGAAAAACAUACAUUUCUGUGGUUUAGAAGAAAAGUACUACAAAAAGUCUUCUCUGUGACAUCACAGGGUAGGUUUUAAAAGUAAGAAACUGAUUUUCCAAAACCAACAAAUUUCUAGCCAGGGGGAGGGUAUUUUCUUGCUCCCCGCGUCAUUGUGAAUCUCAUUGCAUUUGAGAAAUUGCUGUUUGUCAUCAGGUAGAACUUUUUAGUAAUGCACCAUUUUCACAUGUGUAGACACUGGUAUUGUGCUGGAGAUAAUGAAAAGUGGUGAGAUUACCCUUUUUAAGUUACUUCGCUGUGGAAUUCAAAGCAAAGGAUAGACCUCUGGGAUGUGGUAUUUUACUAAGUGUUAUCAGAUGGGGAAACUCCUAUCGAGCAAAAUAAUAUCUUAUUUGGCUAAUGCUGGACAAUGGCGAAAUGUAUCUGUUUUAUUUUUGUCUUGAUCGGCAGUGGGAAUUGUUUUUGCGAUGGACAACCAAGUUUGAAUAGUUUGCAAUGGUGACAUUGACGGCAAAAAAUAAAAUGUAUAUCUUCUUUUAAAAAUGUUACUUGUACUUUGAAUGUUCAUGCAGUCGAUUUAUGUUACUUUACUUGGUUCCCCAAAAUAUUGGAAUAGAAAACACCAGAUCAUACCACGGGGUAAAAAAAACUAAACAAGUUUGUAAUUUUCAUAACCCUAAUCUCUUUUUUUAUUUUUUAUCCUGAGUGUGAGAACAAGUAUGCUUCUUUGUGAAAGCGGGCAGGCAAUCUCUUUUGAAGUCGGUGUGUAAAAGUGCUCUAACAGUUCUAAGUACAUAUUAUGUUCAUUGUUUUGAUCCAAACAUGUCCCCUUUUAUUUGAGUCUUAAGAGGGCUCAUUGAUCUCUAGGGAAAUAACGCAUAAGUUUUCCCCCUUAGAUAUUUUAAAGCACUUAAGUAAAAUGGGUAUUUUUUUUUGUAUUUAAGAAAAUAAUAUAGCUAUAUUAAUUCAACGAUAGUGUAAUAGGAUGUAAACCAAAAACUGGUUCUUAAAAGAGGAGUUGGUUUGAGAAAUACUUUCCUACAAGAGAGCGUGUUUGUGCUUUGUGUGGUGAAAGAAAAUUGAGAAAGUGAUUUCUGUCUGUAUUUUCAUCCCCCUUAGGAUGUGCAAUCACCUCAAGGAUUCUCGCACAGUCCUCUGAGUUCUGAAUAGGAGGACUGCUGUUUGAUGUGUGUGUAAAAGUGAGCUCUUCCAAUUAUAUGCAAGUUUCCCCUUUUUUUCCAAGACCCUUGUAUCAUGUUCAUGUGCCUGUGUGAAAAGUAUGCUUUUACAGUGAUUUGGAUCUUUUUUUGUUUGUUUUGAAAAUCAUUUGUGCCAUGUCUUUUUGUUAUAAAAAAAUAAUCUACAUUUGCAAUGUUGUUUAACAUUUUUUACAGCUUCCUUUGCUGCUUCCUUUCACUGACAUGGAAGAAGUUGAAAGCAAUGUGCGUGUUUAGAUGUGUUUAGAUCUUUUGAAUAAAUUUCGAAUCGAAUGAUGUGCAACAUCUUUCAGUGGGCUUUUAAUGAAACCUGCUUGGUGGUAUGUUAUAGUCUGUCUGUCGUUAAGUUAGUAGAGCAAUUUUGAAUUUGACUUUUGAAUUUAUCUAACGCAUUAAUGUAUUAACUUUAUGUUUAAUAAGCUGUUUGUUUUAUUUUGUGUCACUUAAUUUAUUUGUAGAUGCACAACUAGAAUGGAACUAUUUUGCUUCAAAGGAAAAUGAUAGGGAGAAUUAGGCUAAGCUGUCUCAUUUUUAAAAUCUUAACAAGUACCUACUUUUUUUUAGACCAUUUCAUUAUUGAAUCUCAAUUCUCAUAAUUUUAUAUAAAUCCCCAAUGUUCAGAUCUUUGUGUCUGAAAACAAAUGGUAAUGGUGGAGAUAUGAGCACUGAAAGAAAUCCAGAGUGUUCCUAUAAAGAAUUUGUCCCUGAUGUUCUUCAUCACAUGUGUUAAAGGGGAUUGAUAUACUGUUUGACAACUCUUAUUUUUUGUUUGCCAAAGGUACUAGUGUACUUUUCAGAUAUUUAGCCGCUGUAUGGUCCAUGCUCUUACAUUGGAAAGACUGAUGGUUUAAGCCAGCCUUUGUCUGAGCCAACAGCAGCUGAAUGUCUGUGUUGGUAUGAGUGAGGACAAAUUUAAAUUAAAUAAAAACAUGUAAAUAGAAAUCACAAAUACCGAAAGUGCUGCUUCUUCAUCCAGUUAUCGAUUGUCUGUAAUGGGAAAUGCUGGACUCGAGGUGAAAAUGGAGCGAACACCGUCUCCCAUGCCUCCUGUAAAAACAUUUGGAGGGGGGAGGGGCUAUUUUGUUUACUCUCUUUGGCACAUGAGAGCUAUUUGUAGAUGCACAUUAUGUUAAAGACAAGUGAAAAUUGUUUAUUUCUGGGGCUCCACAGUAGCUUUUUGAAAGAUGGUGUUGUCAUACUGAGAUGUGUGUCUGAAGAAAACAGCUGUGUGUGGUGCCAAGUCCAUCUUUGUACUCUUUCUCUCUGUCAUCUCUGUGCCUGUUGAUGGAUUAUCAAUUGGCUCCUAGGAAAUUUGCCCCUCAGAAUUUGAGGCAUUUACAAGUUUUAGUGUGAAAUGGUUUUCAGAAUUUAACAAAUGCAUUUUUUUUGCAUGAUAAUAUCCCUCAAUUUCCAAAUAAAUGCAAGAAAUUCAGUGUUCACAAUUUCAGUUUCCAUUAAACUGUAAAAUUUUCUUUAAAAAUCCUC
Long non-coding RNA from Oncorhynchus tshawytscha (Chinook salmon), 6605 nucleotides. The record is from Ensembl. Lineage: Eukaryota; Metazoa; Chordata; Actinopteri; Salmoniformes; Salmonidae.